UACGUAGGCAGCAAACGUUGUUCGGAAUUACUGGGCGUAAAGAGUGUGUAGGCGGUUUCGCAAGUUUGGUGUGAAAUCUCCCGGCUUAACUGGGAGGGUGCGCCGAAAACUGCGGGGCUUGAGUGCUGGAGAGGAUAGCGGAAUUCCUGGUGUAGCGGUGAAAUGCGUAGAUAUCAAGAGGAACACCGGUGGCGAAGGCGGCUCUCUGGUCCAAUCCUGACGCUGAGGUGCGAAAGCUAGGGGAGCAAACGGG
This 253-nucleotide ribosomal RNA is filed under the name uncultured prokaryote. Its description in RNAcentral is "partial 16S ribosomal RNA". It matches the Rfam family "Bacterial small subunit ribosomal RNA", at positions 524 to 776 of the family's 1533-position model. The record is from RNAcentral.